CCGGCGGCGCCUCCGGCCUCUAGCAAGGGUUUGAGGCAUCCGGCUCGGCUGGAUUUCGGCACCGUCGGAAGGUCGUGCUUAGUUAGGGCUAACCAUUUCCUUGUCGAGAUUGCCGACAAUACUCUUUUCCACUAUGAUGUGAGUAUAGUGCCCGAAUCAGUGUCCAGAGCUACCAAUAGAAAAAUCAUCUCUGAGCUUGUCAAGGUGCAUAAGGAUAAAGCCUUUGGGAAGGAGAAUGCCAGCUUAUGAUGGAAGGAAGAGCCUGUAUAUGGCUGGUACUUUUCCUUUUGAGUCAAAGGAGUUCACGGUUUCACUGCCUGAAAAUGAUGGAAGGAAGGCCAAGGAUUUUAGAGUGAUUAUUAAGCUUGUUGGAAACACAAGCAUACACAACCUGAAGGAGUUUUUAGCUGGUCGACAGAUUGAGGCACCUCAAGAAGUCAUUCAAGCCCUUGAUAUUGUUCUUAGGGAGUCUCCAUCUACCAAGUAUACUUCGGUAGCACGGUCCUUCUUUUCCCCGAGCUUUGGGCAUCGGGCACCCAUUGGAAAGGCUUAGAAUGCUGGAGGGGCUACUAUCAAAGCCUUCGACCAACACAAAUGGGCUUGUCUUUGAACAAAGACCUAGUAAGUAUUAGGAAAAAUGUUUACCACGAGCAAGAAGAUCCUAAAGGAUAAGG
Molecule: long non-coding RNA, 674 nt
Organism: Zingiber officinale
Lineage: Eukaryota; Viridiplantae; Streptophyta; Magnoliopsida; Zingiberales; Zingiberaceae
Exons: 5
Source: RefSeq, a predicted model, not a curated record